AGCUACUAAGAGCGAAUGGUGGAUGCCUUGGUUGGUAGAGGCGAUGAAAGACGUGCUAGACUGCGAUAAGUCUCGGGGAGUUGUCAAGGAGCUUUGAUCCGGGAAUUUCUGAAUGGGGAAACCCAGUAUAUAGUGAUAUAUACUACCUAUAUGGAGCAAACGUGGGGAAUUGAAACAUCUUAGUACCCACAGGAAAAGAAAUCAAAUGAGAUUACGAAAGUAGCGGCGAGCGAAAUCGUAAAAGGGCAAACCACUAGUUUACUAGUGGGGUUGUAGGACUGUAACAUAGACUAAAAAGAGUUAAUAGAAUAAUCUGGAAAGUUUAAGCAUAGAGGGUGAUACUCCCGUAUAUGAAAACUCUUUUUUACUUAACAGUAUCCUGAGUAGGGCGAGGCACGUGAAACCUUGUCUGAAUCUGGGAAGACCACUUUCCAACCCUAAAUACUACUACCAAACCGAUAGUGAACAAGUACCGUGAGGGAAAGGUGAAAAGAACGGGGGUGACCCGAGUGAAAUAGAACCUGAAACCAUUUGCUUACAAUCAUUCAGAGCACGAUUCUUUAUGACGUGUGAUGGACUGCCUUUUGCAUAAUGAGCCUGCGAGUUGUGAUAUCUGGCAAGGUUAAGGAAAUCCGGAGCCGUAGCGAAAGCAAGUCUUAAUAGGGCGUUUAGUCAGAUAUUGCAGACCCGAAACGAAGUGAUCUAUCCAUGAGCAGGUUGAAACCGGUGUAAGAGCCGGCGGAGGACCGAACCCGCUGACGUUGAAAAGUCUUGGGAUGACUUGUGGAUAGGGGUGAAAGGCCAAUCAAACUUCGUGAUAGCUGGUUCUCUCCGAAAUAUAUUUAGGUAUAGCGUUAUGUAGUAAUUAGAGGGGGUAGAGCACUGAAUGGGCUAGGGCAUACACCAAUGUACCAAACCCUAUCAAACUCCGAAUACCUUUAAUGUAAUCAUAGCAGUCAGGCGGCGAGUGAUAAAAUCCGUCGUCAAGAGGGGAACAACCCAGACUACCGACUAAGGUCCCAAAAUCUUAUUUAAGUGGAAAACGAUGUGAAGUUACUUAAACAACCAGGAGGUUGGCUUAGAAGCAGCCAUCCUUUAAAGAUAGCGUAAUAGCUCACUGGUCUAGUGAUUUUGCGCGGAAAAUAUAACGGGGCUAAAAUAAGUACCGAAGUCGUAGACUUAGUUUUACUAAGUGGUAGGAGAGCGUUGUAUUUAGCGUUGAAGAUGUACCGGUAAGGAGCGUUGGAGCAAAUACAAGUGAGCAUGCAGGCAUGAGUAGCGUUAAAUCAGGUGAGAAUCCUGAUCGCCGAAAACCCAAGGUUUCCUACGCGAUGCUCGUCAUCGUAGGGUUAGUCGGGUCCUAAGCAAAGUCCGAAAGGGGUAUGCGAUGGAAAAUUGGUUAAUAUUCCAAUACCAAUUAUUAUGUGCGAUGGAAGGACGCUUAAAGUUAGUGGAGCUAACUGAUGGAAUAGUUAGUCUAAGGUCGUAGGUUGAGUUAUAGGCAAAUCCGUAACUCUUUAUCCGAAAGCUUAAAGGCUUACAAAGCUCUUCGGAGUAGCGUAAGAAUCCAUGAUACUAUAGAGCCAAGAAAAGUUUCUAAGUUUAGUAAUAAUUGCCCGUACCGUAAACCGACACAGGUGGGUGGGAUGAGUAUUCUAAGGCGCGUGGAAGAACUCUCUUUAAGGAACUCUGCAAAAUAGCACCGUAUCUUCGGUAUAAGGUGUGCCUACCAGGGUGCAAGCCCUAGAGGUUACAACAAAGAGUCCCUCCCGACUGUUUACCAAAAACACAGCACUCUGCUAACACGUAAGUGGAUGUAUAGGGUGUGACGCCUGCCCGGUGCUCGAAGGUUAAUUGAUGGAGUUAGCAUUAGCAAAGCUCUUGAUCGAAGCCCGAGUAAACGGCGGCCGUAACUAUAACGGUCCUAAGGUAGCGAAAUUCCUUGUCGGUUAAAUACCGACCUGCAUGAAUGGCGUAACGAGAUGGGAGCUGUCUCAAAGAGGGAUCCAGUGAAAUUGUAGUGGAGGUGAAAAUUCCUCCUACCCGCGGCAAGACGGAAAGACCCCGUGGACCUUUACUAUAGCUUGACACUGCUACUUGGAUAAAGAUGUGCAGGAUAGGUGGGAGAUUAUGAUCUAUAGAUGCUAGUCUAUAAGGAGUCAUCCUUGAGAUACCACUCUUCUUUAUUCGGGUAGCUAACUAGCCUAAGUUAUCCUUAGGUAGGACAAUGUCUGGUGGGUAGUUUGACUGGGGCGGUCGCCUCCCAAAUAAUAACGGAGGCUUACAAAGGUUGGUUCAAAACGGUUGGAAAUCGUUUGUAGAGUAUAAAGGCAAAAACCAGCUUAACUGCGACACCGACAAGUGGAGCAGAGACGAAAGUCGGUCUUAGUGAUCCGGUGGUUCUGUGUGGAAGGGCCAUCGCUCAAAGGAUAAAAGGUACCCCGGGGAUAACAGGCUGAUCUCCCCCAAGAGCUCACAUCGACGGGGAGGUUUGGCACCUCGAUGUCGGCUCAUCGCAUCCUGGGGCUGGAGCAGGUCCCAAGGGUAUGGCUGUUCGCCAUUUAAAGCGGUACGCGAGCUGGGUUCAGAACGUCGUGAGACAGUUCGGUCCCUAUCUGCCGUGGGCGUAAGAAGAUUGAGGAGAGUUGACCCUAGUACGAGAGGACCGGGUUGAACCAACCACUGGUGUAUAAGUUGUC
RNAcentral lists this ribosomal RNA (2699 nucleotides) under Campylobacter ureolyticus. Its description in RNAcentral is "bacterial LSU rRNA". It matches the Rfam family "Bacterial large subunit ribosomal RNA". Lineage: Bacteria; Pseudomonadati; Campylobacterota; Epsilonproteobacteria; Campylobacterales; Campylobacteraceae. The record is from RNAcentral.